GAUAACCCAACCAGGGCUGAAUUUGUCGAGCUCUUCUGAGCUAUCCAAGGAUUGACUGCAACUGUAGGAUAAAAUCAAGUCAACCCUUGUCCAUCUCCUGCCCCAUAUACCGAAUAACCAAAAUGUCCAUUUUUCACAACAUAGCAGAGUUUAAAAAGCUUAACUAGCCACAUUGCGAAGGUGAUCGUGACCCCUUAGUAGCCAAAGCCUAGAUCCUAUGGAUAGAGAAACUUUUCUUUGUCC
RNAcentral lists this long non-coding RNA (243 nucleotides) under Carica papaya (papaya). Its description in RNAcentral is "long non-coding RNA (CPAP_LNC013048)". The record is from RNAcentral. Lineage: Eukaryota; Viridiplantae; Streptophyta; Magnoliopsida; Brassicales; Caricaceae.